RNAcentral lists this ribosomal RNA (424 nucleotides) under Craterium roseum. Its description in RNAcentral is "SSU rRNA". It matches the Rfam family "Eukaryotic small subunit ribosomal RNA", at positions 1230 to 1644 of the family's 1831-position model. The record is from RNAcentral. Lineage: Eukaryota; Evosea; Eumycetozoa; Physariida; Physaraceae.
ACACGCAUGAAGGUCAAGCUGAAAGACUUUACCCAAUGAUGUAAGUGGUGGUGCAUGGCCGUUCGUAGUUCGUGGAUUGAUUUGUCUGGUCUAUUCCGUUAACGAGCGAGACCCCAACGUUCCUAAUAGGGGGGGCAGCCCGGGCGGUCGCAAGAUCGCCUAGCCGCCCCCUGGUUCUAGCUUCUUAGACGUAUCAGAGCCGAUAAGGUUCUUGAAAUGGGUUAAUAACAGGUCAGUCAUGCCCUUAGAUGUUCUGGGCCGCACGCGCGUUACAAUGGCAUGUAUAGAAAGUGCUUUUCAAGGUGUCCCCGGGGCCGAAAGGCUCCGGUAACCCUUAGUCCCUGCCUUGACUGGGACAGAUCUUUGCAAUUAUUGGUCUCCAACGAGGAAUUUUUAGUAAUCGCAGGUCAUUAACCUGCGAUGA